GCUUAUGCGUUGUUGGGUAGGGGAGCGUUCUGUAAGCCUGUGAAGGUGGCCUGUGAGGGUUGCUGGAGGUAUCAGAAGUGCGAAUGCUGACAUAAGUAACGAUAAAGCGGGUGAAAAGCCCGCUCGCCGGAAGACCAAGGGUUCCUGUCCAACGUUAAUCGGGGCAGGGUGAGUCGACCCCUAAGGCGAGGCCGAAAGGCGUAGUCGAUGGGAAACGGGUUAAUAUUCCCGUACUUGGUGUUACUGCGAAGGGGGGACGGAGAAGGCUAUGUUGGCCGGGCGACGGUU
This 288-nucleotide ribosomal RNA is filed under the name Salmonella enterica. Its description in RNAcentral is "partial 23S ribosomal RNA". It matches the Rfam family "Bacterial large subunit ribosomal RNA", at positions 1213 to 1503 of the family's 2925-position model. RNAcentral also lists the same sequence under 1 other name. Lineage: Bacteria; Pseudomonadati; Pseudomonadota; Gammaproteobacteria; Enterobacterales; Enterobacteriaceae. The record is from RNAcentral.